This 957-nucleotide ribosomal RNA is filed under the name uncultured Lactobacillus sp. Its description in RNAcentral is "bacterial SSU rRNA". It matches the Rfam family "Bacterial small subunit ribosomal RNA", at positions 70 to 1009 of the family's 1533-position model. The record is from RNAcentral. Lineage: Bacteria; Bacillati; Bacillota; Bacilli; Lactobacillales; Lactobacillaceae.
CAGAUUUACUUCGGUAAUGACGUUAGGAAAGCGAGCGGCGGAUGGGUGAGUAACACGUGGGGAACCUGCCCCAUAGUCUGGGAUACCACUUGGAAACAGGUGCUAAUACCGGAUAAGAAAGCAGAUCGCAUGAUCAGCUUUUAAAAGGCGGCGUAAGCUGUCGCUAUGGGAUGGCCCCGCGGUGCAUUAGCUAGUUGGCAAGGUAAAGGCUUACCAAGGCGAUGAUGCAUAGCCGAGUUGAGAGACUGAUCGGCCACAUUGGGACUGAGACACGGCCCAAACUCCUACGGGAGGCAGCAGUAGGGAAUCUUCCACAAUGGACGCAAGUCUGAUGGAGCAACGCCGCGUGAGUGAAGAAGGUUUUCGGAUCGUAAAGCUCUGUUGUUGGUGAAGAAGGAUAGAGGUAGUAACUGGCCUUUAUUUGACGGUAAUCAACCAGAAAGUCACGGCUAACUACGUGCCAGCAGCCGCGGUAAUACGUAGGUGGCAAGCGUUGUCCGGAUUAUUGGGCGUAAAGCGAGCGCAGGCGGAAGAAUAAGUCUGAUGUGAAAGCCCUCGGCUUAACCGAGGACUGCAUCGGAGACUGUUUUCUGAGUGCAGAAGAGGAGAGUGGAACUCCAUGUGUAGCGGUGGAUGCGUAAUAUAUGGAAGAACACCAGUGGCGAAGGCGGCUCUCUGGUCUGCAACUGACGCUGAGGCUCGAAAGCAUGGGUAGUGAACAGGAUUAGAUACCCUGGUAGUCCAUGCCGUAAACGAUGAGUGCUAAGUGUUGGGAGGUUUCCGCCUCUCAGUGCUGCAGCUAGCGCAUUAAGCACUCCGCCUGGGGAGUACGACCGCAAGGUUGAAACUCAAAGGAAUUGACGGGGGCCCGCACAAGCGGUGGAGCAUGUGGUUUAAUUCGAAGCAACGCGAAGAACCUUACCAGGUCUUGACAUCUAGUGCCAUUUGUAGAGAUAC